This 512-nucleotide ribosomal RNA is filed under the name uncultured bacterium. RNAcentral describes it as "partial 16S ribosomal RNA". It matches the Rfam family "Bacterial small subunit ribosomal RNA", at positions 28 to 523 of the family's 1533-position model. The record is from RNAcentral.
GAUGAACGCUGGCGGCGUGCCUAAUACAUGCAAGUCGAGCGAAUGAUGAGGAGCUUGCUCCUCUGAUUUGGCGGCGGACGGGUGAGUAACACGUGGGUAAUCUGCCUGUAAGACGGGGAUAACUCCGGGAAACCGGGGCUAAUACCGGAUAAUAAGAGAAGAUGCAUGUCUUCUUUUUGAAAGUCGGUUUCGGCUGACACUUACAGAUGAGCCCGCGGCGCAUUAGCUAGUUGGUGAGGUAACGGCUCACCAAGGCGACGAUGCGUAGCCGACCUGAGAGGGUGAUCGGCCACACUGGGACUGAGACACGGCCCAGACUCCUACGGGAGGCAGCAGUAGGGAAUCUUCGGCAAUGGGCGAAAGCCUGACCGAGCAACGCCGCGUGAGCGAUGAAGGCCUUCGGGUCGUAAAGCUCUGUUGUUAGAGAAGAACAAGUACGAGAGUAACUGCUCGUACCUUGACGGUACCUAACCAGAAAGCCACGGCUAACUACGUGCCAGCAGCCGCCGUAA